UCUGAAAUGAAAAUCAUGUCUUCUCAUAUUACACAUUCAUCUCUAAAGUCUGUACACACUACUAUAGUAACCAAUAGUUUCAUCAGACCCAUGAUGACAUUUACAAAAGGUUAAUAUCAACGGAAAGACUAAGUUCUACACAUAACAGUAGUAAAGACUCGUUCCACACGUCACAGUUGUGAAUACUCGUCAGUGUGAAACAUUGGCGCGAUAAAAGUGCAGCAAUUUGAGUGGUGAUACAUAUUCCUGGAGAAGAUCGUCAUGCUCAGGGGGUAAAUCAAAACCUGUUGAGCAAUUUUGCAACACCUCAGGAUUCUUCAUCCAUGCUUUUCGUGCAUCACUAAGUUUAAUUUUGAGCCUGUACACCUCAGAAAGUGAGACAGGA
Molecule: unclassified non-coding RNA, 385 nt
Filed under: Hevea brasiliensis (rubber tree)
Lineage: Eukaryota; Viridiplantae; Streptophyta; Magnoliopsida; Malpighiales; Euphorbiaceae
Source: RNAcentral